RNAcentral lists this ribosomal RNA (289 nucleotides) under uncultured cyanobacterium. Its description in RNAcentral is "partial 16S ribosomal RNA". It matches the Rfam family "Bacterial small subunit ribosomal RNA", at positions 1107 to 1397 of the family's 1533-position model. Lineage: Bacteria; Bacillati; Cyanobacteriota. The record is from RNAcentral.
GCCCUUACUUGCCAUCAUUAACUUGGGCACUUUAAGGAGACUGCCGGUGACAAACCGGAGGAAGGUGGGGAUGACGUCAAGUCAUCAUGCCCCUUACAUCCUGGGCUACACACGUACUACAAUGCAACGGACAAAGGGCAGCCAACUAGCGAUAGUGCGCAAAUCCCAUAAACCGUUGCUCAGUUCAGAUUGCAGGCUGCAACUCGCCUGCAUGAAGGCGGAAUCGCUAGUAAUCGCAGGUCAGCAUACUGCGGUGAAUACGUUCCCGGGCCUUGCACACACCGCCCGU